AGAGUUUGAUCCUGGCUCAGAAUCAACGCUGGCGGCGUGCCUAACACAUGCAAGUCGAACGCGACUUGGGCCUUCGGGUCCAAGUUGAGUGGCGAACGGGUGAGUAACACGUGGAUGAUCUACCUUUGAGUGGGGGAUAACGUUCCGAAAGGAACGCUAAUACCGCAUGACGUUCUGGGUUUGAAGACCUGGAACCCAAAGCCGGGGACCGCAAGCCUGGCGCUUUGAAGAGGAGUCCGCGUCCGAUUAGCUAGUUGGCGGGUUAACGGCCCCACCA
RNAcentral lists this ribosomal RNA (277 nucleotides) under uncultured bacterium. Its description in RNAcentral is "partial 16S ribosomal RNA". It matches the Rfam family "Bacterial small subunit ribosomal RNA", at positions 8 to 270 of the family's 1533-position model. The record is from RNAcentral.